This 301-nucleotide ribosomal RNA is filed under the name uncultured bacterium. Its description in RNAcentral is "partial 16S ribosomal RNA". It matches the Rfam family "Bacterial small subunit ribosomal RNA", at positions 509 to 807 of the family's 1533-position model. The record is from RNAcentral.
CAGUCGCCACGGGAACACGUAGGGUGCAAGCGUUAAUCGGAAUUACUGGGCGUAAAGCGUGCGCAGGCGGUUAUAUAAGACAGAUGUGAAAUCCCCGGGCUCAACCUGGGAACUGCAUUUGUGACUGUAUAGCUAGAGUACGGCAGAGGGGGAUGGAAUUCCGCGUGUAGCAGUGAAAUGCGUAGAUAUGCGGAGGAACACCGAUGGCGAAGGCAAUCCCCUGGGCCUGUACUGACGCUCAUGCACGAAAGCGUGGGGAGCGAACAGGAUUAGAUACCCCUGUAGUCCCUGUCUCUUAUAC